This is a small nucleolar RNA of Benincasa hispida (wax gourd), 107 nucleotides long. The record is from RefSeq and is a predicted model, not a curated record. NCBI's taxonomy places the organism in Eukaryota, Viridiplantae, Streptophyta, Magnoliopsida, Cucurbitales, Cucurbitaceae.
AGUCCAUUAUGUGGACAAUUUCUUACUAGCCCUUUAAACCUCGCCCAUGCAUCGCUUAAUGUUUCAUUCUCUUCCUGUUGAAAAUUUGUGAUUACCCUUCUCAUUUU